UUCAUUAAUAAACAUUUAAAAUUGAAGAAUAUUUUAAUAUAUUUUUUAGAAUUAAAUAAGUUUAUUUAUAUUGUAAAGACCGAAUAAAAACCCCUAUAUAAAUAAAGGGUGCGUAGAGGAGCGGAAGUCUGCAAGAAGCUUCCAUGUUGAUCGAUUCCGUUGAAGGCUGAAAAGAGAGAGCGACUUCUGACUAUAUUUCUUCGAUUCUUCCCAUAGCGAAUCGGAGAGAACGAUGGGGGACAAGAUAAAGAAGGAGGAGAAUAGGCGUCCUCUGAUUCUAAAUCUGAUUGUGAUAAUAGGGUAUGGGUUUCUUGCAUAUGUGAUGUGGCCUGACAUUAAAGAGCAGAUAAAUAACAUGAGAAAUUCUAGGGUUGAGGGGUAUGCUGUUGCUAUUUCUACUUUGUUUGCAGUUGUUGUGCUCGUUGUAAUGCUUUGCUCAAUUGAUGUACUCAAACGAAUCAUGAAAUGAAAGGAAUAGGGUUUCUGCA
Molecule: long non-coding RNA, 488 nt
Organism: Manihot esculenta (cassava)
Lineage: Eukaryota; Viridiplantae; Streptophyta; Magnoliopsida; Malpighiales; Euphorbiaceae
Exons: 2
Source: RefSeq, a predicted model, not a curated record